GGCCACCUGGCGCAAUGGUAACGCAUCCGCCUACAAAAAGAUGUCAGCAGGAGGUUGCAAGUUCAAGCCUUGCUGUGGCCA
Molecule: non-coding RNA, 81 nt
Organism: Tulasnella sp. 424
Lineage: Eukaryota; Fungi; Basidiomycota; Agaricomycetes; Cantharellales; Tulasnellaceae
Source: the annotation of a GenBank genome assembly